GUCUUUAUGAUAAUAAUUUAAAGUCUAAUCUGCCCAAUGAUUAAAUUUAAUGGCCGCAGUAUUUUGACUGUGCAAAGGUAGCAUAAUCAUUAGUUUUUUAAUUAAAAACUGGAAUGAAGGAUUGGACGAGAAAAUAACUGUCUCUUUAUAAUUUUAUUUGAAUUUUAUUUUUAAGUUAAAAAGCUUAAAUUUUUUUAAUAGACGAGAAGACCCUAUAGAGUUUUAUUAAUAAUAAAAGAUAUUAUUAUAGAAUUUUAUUAAUAUUUUUAAUUUGAUUAAUUUUGUUGGGGUGAUAGAAAAAUUUGAUUAACUUUUUUUAAAAUAAACCAUUAAUAAAUGAGUUUUUGAUCCAUUUUAUGAUUAAAAGAUUAAAUUACCUUAGGGAUAACAGCGUAAUUUUUUUUUAGAGUUCAAAUCGAUAAAAAAGAUUGCGACCUCGAUGUUGGAUUAAAAUUUAUAUUUGGUGGAGAAGCUAAAUAAUUAGGUCUGUUCGACCUUUAAAAUUUUACA
Molecule: ribosomal RNA, 510 nt
Filed under: Dorylogaster sp. JP-2017
Lineage: Eukaryota; Metazoa; Arthropoda; Insecta; Coleoptera; Staphylinidae
Description: partial 16S ribosomal RNA
Rfam family: Bacterial large subunit ribosomal RNA (bases 384-510)
Source: RNAcentral